Molecule: RNA transcript, 1580 nt
Organism: Temnothorax curvispinosus
Lineage: Eukaryota; Metazoa; Arthropoda; Insecta; Hymenoptera; Formicidae
Gene name: nitric oxide synthase-interacting protein homolog
Exons: 9
Source: RefSeq, a predicted model, not a curated record
UAAUCUUUAGCAUGACCGCGAUAGAUGUAUGUAAUAAAUCAAAAGUGCUCGUUCAAUCAUUUAGAAUUGUCGGGAUAAUUGUUUAACAGUUUAACAGAGACAUUUGCCUACAAAUUUCUAGAAGUGCCGUUACAUUAGGAGCGUGAAGACGCUACAUUGUAGUCUCCUACUCUUCUAACCUAUUUGAAAUAAUGACGGUAACAAAAACGAGGCAAAUUUUAAUGGCUGCCGUUCGCGCCGACCAACCCGAGCGCGAUCUAUCGAUGCGACCCAAGAUGGCCGACGUCGUGCUGGUUCGAGACAAUCGAGACUUCGAGUUCGAGCGAGACGCUUGUUGCUCGUUCAGCUCGUUGUUGACGGCUCCAACUGGAUCCGAGGUGAACGUUAAAGAGACACGAGUGACAUUUUCUUCGGGCAGAAGGAUCGCUUCGUAAUUUCGCGAUCGCGAUGACGCGGCACGCGAGGAAUUGUACCGCGGGCGCGGUGUACACGUAUCACGAGAAGAAGAAGGACGCCGCGGCGUCAGGUUAUGGCACCAACACUCAACGAGUGGGCAAGGACUCCGUCAAGGAUUUCGACUGCUGUUGCCUGACUCUGCAACCCUGCAGGAAUCCAGUGAUCACGAAAGACGGCUAUCUGUUCGACAAAGAGGCGAUAUUGGAGUACAUCCUGACCAAAAAGAGGGAAUACGCGAGAAAGCUGAAGGAAUACGAGAAGCAGAAGCAGAAGGAAGAGGAACAGUCGCAGGAACAGACGGCCAAUGAAGAGCUGAAGAAGUUGCAGAAUUUUUUGAAGGGUGAAAAAAUCAUCAUGUCGAGCGGGCCUAGUACGACGGACGGAGGAGAGUCGGUCUCCAACAUGAAGAACGGCAAGGACAAGGUGCUGCCGAGCUUCUGGAUACCCUCGAAGACCCCGGGGGUGAAGGAACUCACCUUACAGAAGCCGGACAAGACCAUUUAUUGCCCUGUCAGUGGAAAGCCGUUGAAAGUGAAGGAUCUGAUUCCGAUAAAAUUCACGGUGGUUCAGGACCCGGACGACAAGAGAUCGCUUAUUGUCAAACAGGCGCGAUACAUGUGCCCCAUUACGCACGACGUUUUGGGCAACAACGUUCCGUGUGCCGUGAUAAGAACCACCGGCGACGUGGUCACGAUGGAGUGUGUAGAAAAGUUAAUAAAGAAGGAUUGGAUCAACCCUCUAGAUAAUUCCAAAUUGACCCCGUCUGAUAUCAUCCCUCUACAGAGGGGUGGCACUGGUUAUGCAUCUGUUAACGAUUCGUUGGAGGGCAAGCACGAAAGGCCGGUGUUGCAGGCGUGAAGGAUACUUCUCAUCGCUCCGUAUCGCUGUAUAUAGAUGUUUUUUAACCUAAGAAGAUACCCCGGUACUAUGAGGCCGCACGAAUGGAUGCGUGACACAUCCCGAAGCAGAUUCGAAGGCAUCGGUACGUUCCAGCCAAAUGAAUGGACGCAUGGAAGGACUCGAUACGAAUCUAAAGAAGUUCGUGCCCCACGGUUUAUUUCGGCGAGAUAGGCACGGGUUCUGGGGUGGGAGAGCUAACCACCGCCUCGGCGGGGGGUGGUGGC